This 488-nucleotide ribosomal RNA is filed under the name uncultured bacterium. RNAcentral describes it as "partial 16S ribosomal RNA". It matches the Rfam family "Bacterial small subunit ribosomal RNA", at positions 30 to 523 of the family's 1533-position model. The record is from RNAcentral.
AUUGAACGCUGGCGGCAGGCUUAACACAUGCAAGUCGAGCGGGGACUUCGGUCCUAGCGGCGAACGGGUGAGGAAUGCUUGGGAAUCUGCCCAGUAGCGGGGGAUAACGCUUCGAAAGGAACGCUAAUACCGCAUACGCCCUACGGGGGAACGGGGGGGAUCUUCGGACCUCUCACUAUUGGAUGAGCCCAAGUCGGAUUAGCUAGUUGGUGGGGUAAAGGCCUACCAAGGCGACGAUCCGUAGCUGGUCAGAGAGGAUGAUCAGCCACACUGGAACUGAGACACGGUCCAGACUCCUACGGGAGGCAGCAGUGGGGAAUAUUGGACAAUGGGCGAAAGCCUGAUCCAGCCAUGCCGCGUGUGUGAAGAAGGCCUUCGGGUUGUAAGGCACUUUAAGCGAGGAGGAAUGGCUGAGGGUUAAUAACCUUCAGCAGUGACGUUACUCGCAGAAUAAGCACCGGCUAACUCUGUGCCAGCAGCCGCCGCGG